UUACACCGAAGAUGAUACAGUUUCUUCUUCAAAUAAAAUAUUUUCAUAAAAUUCUCUAACUAACUUCAUAAACAUUGGGGCUUCAGCUGUGCAGAUGAAUUCUCAUCCCAUACCUCUAAUUAAGUUUGCAAUCUCGAAUCCCUCUGAGUCUAAAAAUUUUAUAUCAACAAUACGGUCUGAAAGAAUAUUUUUGUCACUUACUGGAGUUCUUAGAGGAGGUGAUGAAACUGGUGCUUCGCUUGCUCCUCUUCUCCUGCUUUCUUCAUUUUUGGUUGCUCUUUGGCAUUGGGGAAGACGUAUCUUCGGAGCCAUCAGGUUGAAAGUUGGCCGAGAAGGAGAUGGAAAGGAGGUUUUUGGUUUGAGAAAGAGAUGGAAAGGAGGUUUUUGGUUUGAGAUUUAAGAGAUGUGAGUGGAGAUGGUAUGAUGGUUGUGGAGACGGAGAGCUAGGAAUUUUGAAGGAAAGAAUAGAAAGUCGAUAUUUCGAACUAGUUCGAUGACUUGGGUCAGAUCCAAUGAAUAUAAAAGCAAUGGACGGAAGGCACCUAAAAUCGGAUCCAAGGUAGUGGAUGUAGGCGCCUACAUCUGGGACAUCCCGGAUGUAGGCAUCUAC
This 610-nucleotide long non-coding RNA is filed under the name Elaeis guineensis (African oil palm). Its description in RNAcentral is "long non-coding RNA (EGUI_LNC077052)". Lineage: Eukaryota; Viridiplantae; Streptophyta; Magnoliopsida; Arecales; Arecaceae. The record is from RNAcentral.